Molecule: long non-coding RNA, 1759 nt
Filed under: Homo sapiens (human)
Lineage: Eukaryota; Metazoa; Chordata; Mammalia; Primates; Hominidae
Description: HSALNT0112369
Source: RNAcentral
CUGGGAAGUGUCUAAGCAGUGACAAUAUCCAAAGUGCACAUGAUUAUAUAGUGUAAAUUCUAAAUUUCUGCUAUGCUUACAAUAUAAAAGUCUUUCUUACUACCAUAUAUCUAAGAAUUCCUUUGUUUGACUACAGGACUGAGGAAAAGCAACCCUGUUAAUUUAGAGAUUCUACAUUUGUGUUUAAAAUGGCAAAGAAGGCUGGGCGCAGUGGCUCAUGCUUGUAAUCCCAACACUUUGGGAGGCCAAGACAAGAGGAUUGCCUGAGGUCAGGAGUUCAAGACCAGAAUGCUCAGGGUAGUGAGACCCCCAACUGUACAAAAAAAUUUUUUUAAUUAUUCAGGUGUGGUGGUGCACACCUGUAGUUCCAGCUACUCGGGGGAGCUGAAGCAGGAGGAUCACUUAGACCCAGGAAGUGGAGGCUGCAGUAAGCCGUGAUUGAGCCUGUGCACUCCACCCCAGGUGACAGAGGGCAACCUUGUCUCUAAAUAUAAAUAAAUAAAUAAAUUUAAAAUAAGAGAAAAUGGCAAAGGAGAGGUCUUUCUUAAUGACGCAUAUCACAUUACAUUACCAACUCUCUUCUGUGUUUUUUUUUUUUUUUACUCUCUUAAAAGUUUGUGGUGGCUGCUCUGAUAGUAGUGGGUUAUCAGAACACAUUAACAUUAGUGUUACUGAAGUUAGUAUAAAACUCCCCCGCUCCUAAAUGACUGGCUUUAAAAAAAAAAAAAAAAAACUUUGUGGCUAACCACUGAAAGAACUGUAAAUAUGGGUUAAUGUUUUUCCCUAUUCCCUGAAAGUGUACAUUGUGGCAGACUAUAUUUCCCAAAGAUGGCCACAAUAUUUCCCAUCCCACAUGCUCUUCUACAAUGUGACCUGCCACUCUCUCAUCAAGAAGUAGAGUCCAAUUCUCCUUCUCUCUUUUUUUUUUUUUUUUUUUUUUUUUUGAGAUAGAGUCUUGCUCUGUCGCCCAGGCUGGAGAGCAGUGGCGUGAUCUUGGCUCACUGCAACCUGUACCUCCAGGGUUCAAGCAAUUCUCCUGCCUCAGCCUCCCUACUGAGCCUCUUGCCUCAGUAGCUGGGAUUACAGGUGUGCGCCACCACAUCUAGCUAAUUUUUUUGUGUUUUUAGUAGAGAUGGGGUUUUGCCAUGUGGGCCAGGCUGGUCUCAAACUCCUGACUUCAGGUGAUCUGCCCACCUUAGUCUCCCAAAAUGAUGGGAUUACAGGUGUGAGCCACCGUGCCCAGCCCAAUUCUCCUUCUCUUAAAUCUAGGCUGGCCUCAAUGAUUCACUUGUAACCAAUAAAAUGUGGCAAAAAUGAUAGUGAAUGACUUCUGAGUCUAGGUCAGUAGGAGCCUGGCAGCUUCUUUCUCAGUUUCCGGAACACUUAGUCUCCAGGUGCUGCCAUGCUAUGAAAAGCCUAAGCUACAAGGAGAGACCUACACUGUCCUCCAGGUCCUCUGGUCUAGCAUCCCAGCUGAGCCCAGCUUUCGAGUUAUCCUGGUCUAGGUAUCAGAUGAGUAAAAAAGUCAACAUGGAAGAGGAUUCUCCAAUUCCAGCUGUUUCCAUCCCAGCAGGUCCAAUUAUACCCAGCCAUUUGAGUCUUCCAUUCUGAGGCUCCAAAUAAAGCACACAGCUGUCUCUUCUCUGAAUUCCUACCUCAAUAAUUUGUAACCAUAAUAUAAUGGUUAUUUUAUUUUUAUUUUAUAUUUAUUAUUUUAUUUUAUAUUUUAUCUUAUUUUGAGACAAGGUCUUGUUCUGCU